GUCACAGCUGACGUGUUGGUUUCCAGACUGCUGCCUCAUGUCCAGGUCUUUAUCCUGUGCUGCUGUUAAAAUAGAAGAACUGAAAUCUAGGCCAGAGUCUUUAACCCCCUUUCUUCAAGGUCCAAGCUAAUCAAAGCCAAGCCAGAAACCAAGACCAAAAGCAAGCAGAGGUGAUACUGACAGACCAGGGCAGGUAAUCACAGGACAAACAUGAAAUCAGUCUUUAAAAAGGCUUAAAGAGAGCCAGCCUGAACGUCUUCACACACGUGGAAAAUACGUAUCAAGCUUGACAUCGACAUGUGAAUAAACAGAUCUGGCCAAUCAGACCACUGCAUUUGGCGACAGUUGCGCUCAUAGCUCAAAAACGCACAGCAGCACUGAAUAUACAAUGACAUGGAAAUAGUCAAAGUCUGUGCCUCAGACACAGAGCCUGCUGCUGCCUCGGGUCGGUCGGCUCUCUGAAAUGAAUUCUCCUCAGUGGAGAGCGAGCUCUCCUCCUGCCUGGUGUUUGGUACUCGGGGGCCACGCCUGAGAGCAGGAAGGCUGCACAGAGGGUCAUUAACACUGCCCAAAAAAUCACUGCCCCUGCCCGGAGGCCAUCGACAAUUAAAGGCUAUUCUAUUGAAUUAAUUUCUAUUGUGGGAUCGCCUUUGAUGUGUUCAUGUUUAGACUCAAACCAGUUUGAUCUUUGAUGUAAAAUAAUAACUCCCCUCAAAUGUGUAAAACCAAAACUAACAAGCCUGUUUUGAAAAUGUAAGCAGUAAAAGUGAAAAAUACAGACAUAGACAAAAUUGUUGGUACCCUUCUGUCAAUGAAAGAAAAACUCACAAUGGUUACAGAAUUAACUUUAAUCUGACAAAAGUAAUAAUAAAUAAAAAUUGGUCACAUUAUUUUCAUUCUUUUCUAGGGGUACCAUCAUUUUUGUCCAGGCCUGUUUCAUGUAUUUAUUUUUUAAAUAAUUCAGUUGAAGCAUGGUUAAAAAGCAAUGUCUGACUUUCAUUGGUUAAGAUUUAUAGAAUUUUUAUUUAUUAUUACUUUUGUCAGAUUAAAGUUAUUUCUGUGACCAUUGUGAGUUUUUCUUUCAUUGACCGAAGGGUACCAACAAUUUUGUCCACGUCUGUAUUCAUACUUUGUUACUUCCACCCUCUGGUUGUGAUAUAGCUUCAACUCCUGGAUUAAUCCUGCUGCCUUCUCCUGAAAGUGGUGUACUUACAGUUGCAGGCCCACUUUGAUUUUAACAAGAUCUCUGAAAAAUUUCAAUCUGGUUUUAAAUCACUACAUAGCACUGAGAUGGCACGUUUAAGGAUUUUUAAUGAUAUUCUUUUAACUCUGAACUCUGGCAGCCCUGCUGCCCUUUUACUGUUGGACCUGUCAGCAGCUUUUGACACGGUUGACCAUGACAUCCUGUUAUCACUGCUAGAAUUUCAUGCUGGCCUAAAAGGAUCUGCCCUCCAGUGGUUUCGGUCCUACUUGUCAGGAAGGUCUUUUUAUGUCAAUAUGGGCCCCCAUAGCUCCAAAAUAGCCCCUCUUAAAUACGGUGUACCUCAAGGCUCUAUUUUGGGUCCUGCCCUGUUCGCACUGUAUUAGUUGCCAUUGGGUUUCAUCUUCUCGUGCUACAACAUUUCAUUCCAGUGCUUUGCUGAUGAUUUGCAGAUUUAUCUGCCUUUAAAAGCAGGCUCAGACCAUCCCCAGCUCUUAUUACGCUGCCUUGACAACAUCAAACAGUGGAUGUCUUUAAAUUUUCUAAAGCUAAAUGAAAAUAUAAUAUAAUAUAAUAUAAUAUAACUGAAGUUGUCAUUUUUGGCAUCUUUGUCAAUAAUCACGUCACCAGCACUCUGGGCCCCCUUUCCUGCUACUGCAAAACACAUGUAAAAACCUCGGUGUCUAUCUUGAUGGUUCCUUUAAAUUGAAUAAGCAGGUGAGUGCAGUAGUCCAAUCCUGCUUCUUUCAGGUAAGAACGGUAGCCAAGGUAAAGCCAUUCCUCCCAGCUAAUGUCUUUGAGCGUGUUAUUCACCUUUUCCUUACUUGCAGAUUGGACUACUGCAAUUCAUUGUAUUUUGGUCUCGACCAGGCCUCCAUUCAUCGUCUUCAGAUGGUCCAAAAUGCAGCUGCUCGCCUGCUAACUGGUACCAAACGGAGAGAGCAUAUAACCCCAGUUUUACACUGGCUUCCUGUCUCCUACAGGAUCCAAUUUAAACUUUUACUUUUGGUUUUUAAGCCGCUUAACGCCCAAGCCUCUUCUUACCUGUCUGAGCUCCUCUCUGUUUAUGCUCCAGGAAAAGCCAUGAGGUCUAGCUCAAAAUUAAUGCUGUCCAUCCCACGGACUGAUCUCAAAUCCCGUGGCAAAAGAGCCUUCUCUGUGGCAGGUCCCAGACUCUGGAAUAGUCUUCCCCUAAAUAUUAGAUCUGCACAAUUUAAAUCACUACUAAAGACACAUUUUUAUGCCCUGGCUUUUAACA
Long non-coding RNA from Oreochromis niloticus (Nile tilapia), 2459 nucleotides. RefSeq lists it as uncharacterized. The record is from RefSeq and is a predicted model, not a curated record. NCBI's taxonomy places the organism in Eukaryota, Metazoa, Chordata, Actinopteri, Cichliformes, Cichlidae. The transcript has 2 exons.